GAUGAAGAACGUAGCGAAAUGCGAUAAGUAGUGUGAAUUGCAGAAUUCAGUGAAUCAUCGAAUCUUUGAACGCACAUUGCGCCCCUUGGUAUUCCAUGGGGCAUGCCUGUUCGAGCGUCAUUUGUACCUUCAAGCUAUGCUUGGUGUUGGGUGUUUGUCCACUCCACUGCGUGUGGACUCGCCUUAAAGCAAUUGGCAGCCUAUAUUUGGUUUUAAGCGCAGCACAUCUUGCGUCUUACUGCCAGUUAUAUAGGCACCCAUUAAGCCUUUUUAUCACGUUUGACCUCGGAUCAGGUAGGGAUACCCGCUGAACUUAAGCAUAUCAAUAAGCGGAGGA
Molecule: unclassified non-coding RNA, 337 nt
Filed under: soil metagenome
Description: partial contains 5.8S ribosomal RNA, internal transcribed spacer 2, and large subunit ribosomal RNA
Rfam family: 5.8S ribosomal RNA (bases 1-120)
Source: RNAcentral